AAACAAAAAGGUUUGGUCCUAGCCUUCCUAUUAGUUAUUAACAGAAUUACACAUGCAAGCCUCCACAUCCCGGUGAAGAUGCCCUCUAAAUCCAAAACGAUUAAAAGGAGCGGGCAUCAGGCACACUAAAUAGGUAGCCCAUAACGCCUUGCUCAACCACACCCCCACGGGAUACAGCAGUGAUAAAAAUUAAGCCAUGAACGAAAGUUUGACUAAGCCAUGUUAAUAUUAAGAGUUGGUAAAUUUCGUGCCAGCCACCGCGGUCAUACGAUUAACCCGAAUUAAUAGGCUCACGGCGUAAAACGUGCUAAGGAUCACAAGACACUAAAGUUAAAAUUUAACCAGGCCGUAAAAAGCUACUGUUAAUAUAAAAUAUACCACGAAAGUGACUUUAUCAUCUCCAACAACACGAUAGCUGGGACCCAAACUGGGAUUAGAUACCCCACUAUGCCCAGCCCUAAACACAAAUAAUUUACACAACAAAAUUGUCUGCCAGAGAACUACUAGCAACAGCUUAAAACUCAAAGGACUUGGCGGUGCUUUAUAUCCCUCUAGAGGAGCCUGUUCUGUAAUCGAUAAACCCCGAUAAACCUCACCACUCCUAGCUAAACCAGUCUAUAUACCGCCAUCUUCAGCAAACCCUUAAAAGGAAGAAAAGUAAGCACAAUAAUACUACAUAAAAAAGUUAGGUCAAGGUGUAACCCAUGGAGUGGGAAGAAAUGGGCUACAUUUUCUUAUCAAGAAUACACUCACGAAAGUUUUCAUGAAAACUGAAAACUAAAGGUGGAUUUAGUAGUAAAUUAAGAAUAGAGAGCUUAGUUGAAUAGGGCCAUGAAGCACGCACACACCGCCCGUCACCCUCCUCAAGCAACACAUUCAACCAUUACAUAAUAUAAACUAAACUGAAGCAAGAGGAGAUAAGUCGUAACAAGGUAAGCGUACUGGAAAGUGUGCUUGGAUAAACCAAAGU
Soboliphyme baturini is the source of this 970-nucleotide non-coding RNA. The record is from Rfam. NCBI's taxonomy places the organism in Eukaryota, Metazoa, Nematoda, Enoplea, Dioctophymatida, Soboliphymatidae.